This 199-nucleotide ribosomal RNA is filed under the name uncultured Leptolinea sp. RNAcentral's name for it is "partial 16S ribosomal RNA". It matches the Rfam family "Bacterial small subunit ribosomal RNA", at positions 1184 to 1382 of the family's 1533-position model. Lineage: Bacteria; Bacillati; Chloroflexota; Anaerolineae; Anaerolineales; Anaerolineaceae. The record is from RNAcentral.
GUCAAGUCAGCAUGGCCUUUAUGUCCUGGGCUACACACACGCUACAAUGGUCAGCACAAUGGGUCGCUAAGCCGCAAGGUGGAGCCAAUCCUCAAAGUUGGCCUCAGUUCAGAUUGUAGGCUGCAACUCGCCUGCAUGAAGAUGGAGUUGCUAGUAAACGCAGGUCAGCUAUACUGCGGUGAAUACGUUCCCGGGGCUU